Molecule: microRNA precursor, 78 nt
Filed under: Trichobilharzia regenti
Lineage: Eukaryota; Metazoa; Platyhelminthes; Trematoda; Strigeidida; Schistosomatidae
Description: mir-3492 microRNA precursor family
Rfam family: mir-3492 microRNA precursor family
Source: Rfam by way of RNAcentral
AGCUUUCUGUAUCCAUGCUGAGAUUCCAUCAAUAUUCAUUCGACUAGGGUAGAUGCAACUUUCCAAAUACAUGAAGUG